GGGGAUGUAGCUCAAAUGGUAGAGCGCUCGCUUUGCAUGCGAGAGGCACGGAAAACACGUCUCAAAUUUCUAAUCCUUCCUUG
Molecule: transfer RNA, 83 nt
Filed under: Nicotiana sylvestris (wood tobacco)
Lineage: Eukaryota; Viridiplantae; Streptophyta; Magnoliopsida; Solanales; Solanaceae
Also listed under: 1 other name
Rfam family: tRNA (bases 1-65)
About the family: Transfer RNA (tRNA) molecules are approximately 80 nucleotides in length. Their secondary structure includes four short double-helical elements and three loops (D, anti-codon, and T loops). Further hydrogen bonds mediate the characteristic L-shaped molecular structure. tRNAs have two regions of fundamental functional importance: the anti-codon, which is responsible for specific mRNA codon recognition, and the 3' end, to which the tRNAs corresponding amino acid is attached (by aminoacyl-tRNA synthetases). tRNAs cope with the degeneracy of the genetic code in two manners: having more than one tRNA (with a specific anti-codon) for a particular amino acid; and 'wobble' base-pairing, i.e. permitting non-standard base-pairing at the 3rd anti-codon position.
Source: Rfam by way of RNAcentral